CAAGGAUACAUGCAAUAACCCCCCUUUUUUUUACACAAUUUGCUAUUCAUUAAAGCCCAUCUACUGAUGCAUUAAAGGAAAGGAUGAAUUGUGUAAAAAAAAGGGGAGGUUAUUGCAUGUAUCCUUGAA
Molecule: non-coding RNA, 129 nt
Organism: Podarcis lilfordi (Lilford's wall lizard)
Lineage: Eukaryota; Metazoa; Chordata; Lepidosauria; Squamata; Lacertidae
Source: the annotation of a GenBank genome assembly